ACCUCCUACUGUUUCCAGAUAUUUUUCCGUCCUUGCUCAGAGUCACAGUCACCAUCUCUCUCUCUCCAUCAUCUUUGCGAACAGGUGCCCUUGCUCGGGUAAGUUAACACCAAGACACGUUACCUGACCGGAUGAAUAUGGUAAGGACCAAGAAUUUUACCCGGCAAGAUCGACAUAAGGACAAGAGUGUAAGUGAAGGCAAAGACUCUUACCACGGUAAGCGCUUACCGGGUAAAUUGUUACAUCUAUACCGUUUUUCAUGCUGUGUGGCAGAUCGUAUUUAUUGUGAGCAUGUUUCUCUUGGUUAGCAAUGUUCAACAGAUAAGUAUGUACAUUCCUUUUCACAGACUUCAGCAAAUCAAGUACAAAUCAUACCUUCGAU
Molecule: long non-coding RNA, 382 nt
Organism: Cynara cardunculus var. scolymus (artichoke)
Lineage: Eukaryota; Viridiplantae; Streptophyta; Magnoliopsida; Asterales; Asteraceae
Exons: 2
Source: RefSeq, a predicted model, not a curated record